RNAcentral lists this non-coding RNA (257 nucleotides) under uncultured bacterium. RNAcentral's name for it is "partial 16S ribosomal RNA". It matches the Rfam family "Bacterial small subunit ribosomal RNA", at positions 524 to 776 of the family's 1533-position model. The record is from RNAcentral. RNAcentral also lists the same sequence under 2 other names.
UACAGAGACCUCAAGCGUUAUCCGGAAUCAUUGGGCGUAAAGCGUACCGAUAGGUGGUUAUGCAAGUCAGACGUGAAAUCUCCGAGCUCAACUCGGAAUCUGUCGUUUGAAACUGCACAACUAGAGGGGCAAAGAGGAAGCUGGAACGAACGGUGUAGUAGUGAAAUGCGUUGAUAUCGUUCGGAACACCAAUAGCGUAGGCAGGCUUCUGGGUGCCACCUGACACUGCUAGGACGAAAGCGUGGGGAGCGAAUGGG